This 510-nucleotide ribosomal RNA is filed under the name uncultured bacterium. Its description in RNAcentral is "partial 16S ribosomal RNA". It matches the Rfam family "Bacterial small subunit ribosomal RNA", at positions 28 to 507 of the family's 1533-position model. The record is from RNAcentral.
GACGAACGCUGGCGGCGUGCUUAACACAUGCAAGUCGAACGAAGAGCGAUGGAAGCUUGCUUCUAUCAAUCUUAGUGGCGAACGGGUGAGUAACGCGUAAUCAACCUGCCCUUCAGAGGGGGACAACAGUUGGAAACGACUGCUAAUACCGCAUACGAUCUAAUCUCGGCAUCGAGGAUAGAUGAAAGGUGGCCUCUACAUGUAAGCUAUCACUGAAGGAGGGGAUUGCGUCUGAUUAGCUAGUUGGAGGGGUAACGGCCCACCAAGGCGAUGAUCAGUAGCCGGUCUGAGAGGAUGAACGGCCACAUUGGGACUGAGACACGGCCCAGACUCCUACGGGAGGCAGCAGUGGGGAAUCGUGCGCAAUGGACGAAAGUCUGACGGAGCAACGCCGCGGGAGUGAUGACGGCCUUCGGGUUGUAAAGCUCUGUUAAUCGGGACGAAAGGCCUUCUUGCGAAUAGUGAGAAGGAUUGACGGUACCGGAAUAGAAAGCCACGGCUAACUACGUG